Molecule: ribosomal RNA, 424 nt
Filed under: uncultured bacterium
Lineage: Bacteria
Description: bacterial SSU rRNA
Rfam family: Bacterial small subunit ribosomal RNA
Source: RNAcentral
AGAGUUUGAUCCUGGCUCAGAAUCAACGCUGGCGGCGUGCCUAACACAUGCAAGUCGAACGAGAAAGUGGGGGCAACUCCAUGAGUAAAGUGGCGACCGGGUGAGUAACACGUAGCUAACCUACCCUCGAGCGGGGGAUAACCUGGGGAAACCUGGGCUAAUACCGCAUAACAUCCCGAUGUCCAUGAUAUUGGGAGCAAAGGCCCGCAAGGGUCACUGGAGGAGGGGGCUGCGGACGAUUAGCUAGUUGGUGAGGUAACGGCUCACCAAGGCGAUGAUCGUUAGCCGGCCUGAGAGGGCGCACGGCCACACUGGCACUGACACACGGGCCAGACUCCUACGGGAGGCAGCAGUGGGGAAUUUUGCACAAUGCCCGAAAGGGUGAUGCAGCAACGCCGCGUGAGGGAUGAAGGCCUUCGGGUCG